AAAACUUUCAACAACGGAUCUCUUGGUUCCGGCAUCGAUGAAGAACGCAGCGAAAUGCGAUACGUAAUGUGAAUUGCAGAAUUCAGUGAAUCAUCGAGUCUUUGAACGCACAUUGCGCCCCCUGGUAUUCCGGGGGGCAUGCCUGUCCGAGCGUCAUUGCUGCCCUCAAGCCCGGCUUGUGUGUUGGGUCUCGUCCCCCU
RNAcentral lists this ribosomal RNA (200 nucleotides) under Penicillium sp. 0109CI33G2. Its description in RNAcentral is "5.8S ribosomal RNA". The stretch from base 3 to 156 matches the Rfam family "5.8S ribosomal RNA". Rfam says of the family: 5.8S ribosomal RNA (5.8S rRNA) is a component of the large subunit of the eukaryotic ribosome. The record is from RNAcentral. Lineage: Eukaryota; Fungi; Ascomycota; Eurotiomycetes; Eurotiales; Aspergillaceae.